UUAUUGAAUGUCUGGGUGGAUUGACUAAAUGGAAAACAUCCAAGUCCAGAAGAUGAGAAUUUUCUGAAAUCCACGCAAGGCAAAAUAUAAAUGGGAAUUAUUCAUUGGUGUUCAAAUCCGUGCUGCCUUUUCCACAUCUCAUUUCUGAAUUCCAAGGACAGUUUUCUGCAACAGAGACUUUGACAAAACUGACAGAAGGUGCUGCAGUCGGGAGGUACUACUGUAACAUUUUGAUGGCUUCUUUGCCCCUGAGUGACAGACAACAGUUUUUUCCAAGUGGGUCAAGCUAUCAUCUUCUGGCUAGUAACAGAGACAGGACACUGGGCUAGAUGGUCUCUUCUUCUGACUCAACGCGAGUAUUUCUUUCAUGCUGAUAUGCCUUACCAAGAGAUGGAUCAGCCCUAUCUGCAUCAUUCCUGAAACAUCUGGACUUGCUUCUGCGUGCUUGGGAGAAGUCUUUAGUGAGAAAGAAGCAGUGGGAGAUUCAGGAGAAAAGCAGGG
This is a long non-coding RNA of Struthio camelus australis, 501 nucleotides long. RefSeq lists it as uncharacterized. NCBI's taxonomy places the organism in Eukaryota, Metazoa, Chordata, Aves, Struthioniformes, Struthionidae. The record is from RefSeq and is a predicted model, not a curated record.